This 258-nucleotide ribosomal RNA is filed under the name uncultured bacterium. RNAcentral describes it as "partial 16S ribosomal RNA". It matches the Rfam family "Bacterial small subunit ribosomal RNA", at positions 524 to 777 of the family's 1533-position model. The record is from RNAcentral.
UACGAAGGGGGCUAGCGUUGCUCGGAAUUACUGGGCGUAAAGGGUGCGUAGGCGGGUCUUUUAAGUCAGGGGUGAAAUCCUGGAGCUCAACUCCAGAACUGCCUUUGAUACUGCAAAUCUCGAGUCCGGAAGAGGUGAGUGGAAUUCCUAGUGUAGAGGUGAAAUUCGUAGAUAUUAGGAAAGAACACCAGUGGCGAAGGCGGCUCACUGGUCCGGUACUGACGCUGAGGUGGCGAAAAGCGUGGGGAGCAAACAGGG